GCUUCUUCAUUACUUAAUUAAUUAAUUUGUUGUAUUAGUAAUUAGUUGAUUUAGGUUUUUAAAUUUUACAUAAUUAGUUGAUUGGUAUUUAAUUGGCUGAUUAGUAAUUAGUUUUGAAAUUUAGAUGUUUAAUUAGUUUGUUUAUUGACAAAACUUUUGGAGGGAGCGAAAUUGUAAUGCUGAAAGAACACCCAGUAUUUGUUGCAGUUAUAUAGUUGUUAUGAGUAUAAGAGUGAAGAUAAGGAGGAUAAAAUUGUAAAUGACCAAACUGUUUUAGAUGCAGGGCAGUUAUGAAUCUGUUGUAAGCUGUUAAGUUUGUUAUACUUAUAAUCCAUUUUCCUCUUAGUGAUCAGAAAGUAUUAUUCAGUUUUCAUUUCUUCUUCUCUGCUACUCUUCUAUUUUCGUUUCUUUUAGCUUCUUGCAACUCAAGGUUCAGAGUUGCUUUCAGUUGAUAUUUGUUGUGACUCUUACUGCUUGAAUCUUGAAACAUUGACACUCCUAGCAUGACUAAGGAGACUUACCCUGUGAUGUCGCAUACUUGCAUUUGAGAUUUUUGAAAUAGGUGCAAUUGCAAUAGGUGCAGGAGCAAUGGCUGCAUAAACACUAGUAAUUAGUUGAUUUAGCUUAUUAAUUUUAGAUAAUUAGUUUGUUAAUUGGCUGAUUUAGUAGUUGGUUUUAAAUUUGGGUUUUUAAUUGACUGAUUUAGAUUUUAUAAUUUAUAUUUUUAUUUAAUUAUGACCGAGUCAACUAAUUAAAUAGUUCGAUCAGUAAUCUAAUCCAAUCAGUUUGAUUAUCGGUUAUGUUCUAAUAUCUAUGGUGCAGACCUCUACAAUAAGUAAAUAACCCAAACCUGAUUAAAAUAACUGGUUUGGUUGUCUUGUUUUUAAACCGAUUCCAUAAAACCAAACUUCCCAGGUAGUGUCUUUGAUCCCCGAAACCUGACAAGGCGACAUUGGCUUGCUCUUCCUCUCACGAAUACAAGUGUAGGAUGAUCCUUUCCACAGCUCCAGAAGUAACAACAGUUCUUGCUUUUUGUUUGAAGUAGUGGAUGUCUCCAGCCUCCACAACAAUAGCAUGCUCUUGCGCUGCAGUUCACUGAAGUGCAAGCUGCUACUGCCAUUGCCACUGCCGCUCCCACAACUCAUCACUACUCGCCUCUCUUCUUGUUCCACUGUUACAGUCAAUCCUACAAUCUUGAAACAAUGCAGUUCCAUAACCCAUGCCAAGCUCCUGCAACAGCAAGUCACAGUGCAGGGCCUUCUCCACCACUUCACCCGCCACCUCAUUGCCACAUACAUCGCACUCAGCUCCACCAUCCAUGCCACUGUCCUCCUCCUCACACUCCCCCCAUCGCCUCUCUCUGUUUUCUGGUGGAAUCAGCUUAUAAGGCGCUCCCUUCAUCACGGGGACCCUCACGGCUCCCUUGCCCUCUACCAUCAGAUGAAGGCUCAUGGGUGGACCGCUGACCACUACACCUUCCCUUUUGUCUUUAAGGCCUGUGCUGAUAUUCCCUCUUUCUCUGCCGGCACUUCCCUCCACGCUGCUGUUCUACGAUCUGGCUUUGACUCUAAUGUCUUCGUUUGUAAUGCUGUGGUUGGCAUGUACGGUAGGUGUGGCUCUCUCCAAGAUGCGCGCAACAUGUUUGAUGAAUUGUGCCAAAGGGGAAUUCAGGACUUGGUCUCUUGGAAUUCCAUUGUGUCUGCUUGUUCUCGUGCUUAUGAGACAAAUACGGCACUUCAAUUAUUUGUUGAAAUGACCACUCGUCAUUGGGUGUCGCCAGAUCCUGUGAGCCUUGUUAACAUACUUCCUGUUUGUGCUUUUGUUGGUUCUUCGAUGCAGGGGAAACAGGUUCAUGGGUUUGCUGUUAGGAGUGGGUUGGUGGAUGAUGUUUUUGUGGGGAAUGCUAUUGUUGACAUGUACGCCAAGUGUGGUAAGAUGGAUCAAGCAAACAGGGUUUUUGAAAGGAUGAAGUUGAAGGAUGUUGUUUCUUGGAAUGCUAUGGUCACGGGGUAUUCUCAGACUGGAAUGUUUGGGGAUGCUCUCUCUCUGUUUGAGCAGAUGCGGCAGGAGAAUAUCAAGCUGGAUGUUGUGACAUGGACGGCUGUGAUCGCCGGGUAUGCCCAGAGAGGGCAUGGUUCUGAGGCUUUGGACGUGUUUCGGCAGAUGUGCAACUGCGGAUCUCAGCCGAAUGUUGUUACUCUGGUGUCUCUGCUUUCCGGCUGUGCAUCUAUUGGCGCAUUGCUUCAUGGGAAAGAAACUCAUUGUUAUGCCAUCAAAUUUAUGCUGAACUUGGAUGGAAAUGAUCCACGGGAUGAUUUGAUGGUAAUUAAUGGUCUGAUUGACAUGUAUGCUAAGUGCAAAAAUGUUGCUGUAGCCCGUACAAUGUUUGAGUUGAUACCUCCCAAGGAUAGAGAUGUGGUUACCUGGACUGUGAUGAUUGGUGGUUAUGCACAGCAUGGUGAUGCCAACCAUGCGCUACAACUUCUCUCUGAAAUUUUCAAAAUGGGUAACUCUUUAAAGCCCAAUGAUUUUACUUUAUCUUGUGCCCUCAUGGCUUGUGCUCGUUUAGCAGCAUUGAGAUUAGGAAGGCAAAUUCAUGCUUAUGUGUUGCGCAAUCGGUAUGACUGCGUUGUUCUAUUUGUGGCCAAUUGUCUAAUAGACAUGUACUCCAAAUGUGGAGAUGUGGAAACUGCUCAAGUUGUUUUUAAUAACAUGCCAGAGAAAAAUUCUGUAUCUUGGACAACUUUAAUGACAGGUUAUGGUUUGCAUGGACGUGGUGAAGAUGCUAUCCAGGUUUUUGAUGAGAUGAGGAAAGUUGGUCUAGUGCCAGAUGGCAUAACCUUUCUUGUUCUGCUUUAUGCUUGUAGUCAUUCAGGAAUGGUGGAUCAUGGAAUCAAUUUCUUUUAUAGAAUGAGACAGGACUUUGGGGUUCCUCCUGGUGCAGAGCAUUAUGCAUGCAUGGUUGAUCUUCUGGGUCGUGCUGGUCGCUUAGAUGAAGCCGUGAAACUCAUUAAUUGCAUGCCCAUGGAACCAUCUGCAGUAGUGUGGGUGGCCUUGCUUAGUGCAUGUAGGAUACAUUCAAAUGUAGAGCUUGGGGAACUCGCUGCCAGUCGAUUAGGGGAAUUGGAGUCUGGGAAUGAUGGGUCAUACACUCUGCUCUCAAACAUAUAUGCUAAUGCUAGACGUUGGAAAGACGUGGCUAGGAUUAGAUAUUUGAUGAAAAAUACAGGUGUCCAAAAAAGGCCUGGCUGUAGUUGGGUCCAAGGAAGGAAAGGCACUGCAACCUUCUUUGUGGGAGACAGAUCCCACUCGCAAUCUCAGCAGAUAUAUGAAACACUUGCAGAAUUGAUUCAACGCAUUAAAGCUAUUGGAUAUGUUCCUCAGACAAGCUUUGCUCUUCAUGAUGUAGAUGAUGAAGAAAAAGGUGACCUGCUUUUUGAACAUAGUGAGAAAUUGGCCCUUGCCUAUGGCAUCCUAACAAUUCCUCCAGGAUCUCCUAUUCGGAUCACCAAGAAUUUACGCAUUUGUGGUGAUUGCCACAGUGCCAUAACAUACAUAUCCAUGAUUGUUGAACAUGAAAUCAUACUGCGAGACUCAAGUCGCUUCCAUCAUUUCAAGAAUGGUUCCUGCUCAUGCAAAGGUUAUUGGUGACAGUGGUAUCAUUCUGAUCCAUUUAAAUGUAGAGCAUGCUUGCAAUGAUAGGAUGCUAUGAUGAUGAUCGAGCGGUAAGUGAGCAAGUUUGGUAUAGCAUGAAGUUAUUUUCGUGGAAUAUUUUGCAAGUGAUUUGGUAUCCAGAACUGAAAAAUAAAACAGGAUAAAAUGAAAAUAAAGGCUCACAUUCAGUUCCUCUACUGCUUCAAGCUCCAUACUUCUAGAGUCAAGCUCUUCCAUCCCAUUCGGGAAGAUGUCUGCGAAAUCACGGAGUCCUUGCUUCCUAGGCAUGGGAAAAGAUGCAGUGAGGCUUAGUAAUAUUGGUGUUUUGCUCUGCUUUUUUAUGGUAGUUUCUGUUUGAAUACUUUUCAAACUCUGGUGUGAGGAUCCAAAUGACUCUGUGUUCCAAUCUCAGCCUCAGGUGCCUUCUUCGUGUGGCGUGUUAAUUAUUGUUGACUGGUAGGCUGUUGCCUGGCAGUGACCUAGUAUUAACUAUUAACAGUAUACCCUGCCUUCAUCACUCUUGUUCCACUUUUUGCAUUUUGCUGGUGCAGAGGCUGAGAGAUGCAGGUUUGAACCAGCAGAUCUCCAAGGUCAAAGAUCACCAGAACAUUCUCGAAGAAGAGUUUCAACGUCUUGGCGAGGAUGUGGUGGGUUUGAAUUAGUUUUCUAUAAUAGGUUUGAUUUUAUCCUAGUGUAUUCUUUCAACAAAUAUAUGAAUAACUAGAUGAUUACUUAUUUCUUUAGUCUGAUUUGAGCAAUGUAAAACAUAAUGCUCUGCUAGAGGCUUUAGUUUAAAAUCAGUAAAUGUUAUUUAGCCUUUUUUGGGAUAGUUUUUACUCAACGAAUAUGGUGAUCCAAAAUUUGAAUUGUUCUGU
RNA transcript from Arachis duranensis, 4529 nucleotides. It is a transcript of the gene named pentatricopeptide repeat-containing protein At5g16860, with no coding region annotated. Lineage: Eukaryota; Viridiplantae; Streptophyta; Magnoliopsida; Fabales; Fabaceae. The record is from RefSeq and is a predicted model, not a curated record. The transcript is spliced from 3 exons.